RNAcentral lists this ribosomal RNA (304 nucleotides) under uncultured bacterium. RNAcentral describes it as "partial 16S ribosomal RNA". It matches the Rfam family "Bacterial small subunit ribosomal RNA", at positions 506 to 807 of the family's 1533-position model. The record is from RNAcentral.
CAGCAGCAGCCGCGGUAAUACGGAGGGAGCUAGCGUUGUUCGGAAUUACUGGGCGUAAAGCGCGCGUAGGCGGUUACUCAAGUCAGAGGUGAAAGCCCGGGGCUCAACCCCGGAACUGCCUUUGAAACUAGGUGACUAGAAUCUUGGAGAGGUCAGUGGAAUUCCGAGUGUAGAGGUGAAAUUCGUAGAUAUUCGGAAGAACACCAGUGGCGAAGGCGACUGACUGGACAAGUAUUGACGCUGAGGUGCGAAAGCGUGGGGAGCAAACAGGAUUAGAUACCCCCGUAGUCCCUGUCUCUUAUAC